AGUGGGGGAGAAGGCCCCCUACCCGAAUUUUUCAUCAAUAGAAAUAGAAGAAUACAUUAGUUUACAACCCUAUAGUAGGACAGUUACGUCAAAUCAUGUUAUAAAAGAAGAAAGAGAAAGUCUAGUGGACGGCUACAUCAAAUCGUGGCGCCUGAGUAGACCGAUCCUCUCUUAGUGAGGGCAUCAGCUACCAUAUUCACAUCUCGAAAAUCAUAGACAACAAUAUGCCAAAUGUAGAGCAAGAGCUUGGCAUGACAAUUGUAUGCCACCAUCUGUAAUCUCCAUGGGGCCACGACGUCGAUUCUGAAUAGCAUCCACUUUGAAUAGCAUCCACUCUGAAUAGCAUCCACCAUAGAGAUGAAUCACUUCCUAUCUGUAAAGGGAGCAACCUUUUGCAUAGCUAAACCCUCUUCUAAUACCUAGAAUUCUGCAUAAUUAUUAGAAGCAAAUCUAAAAUGUUUAGUGAAAGCGGCCACAAAUCCACCAAUGUUGUUUCUUAUGACCCCACCACCACCUGCCAAACCAAGAUUAUGUAAUGACGCACCAUCAAUAUUCAACUUAUACUACUGGACCUUCGGGAGUGACCAUGCAACUCGGAUAAGGUAUUUUUGCUUUUGAUAGACAUCGAGUAAUAUGAAGAUUGCCAAUAAUCACCUUUUUUUGACAAUGGGGGGCCCAUUAAUCUAACUUCUGUUAGAGCCUUGACAGGUGAAGCAAUACGAAUAACAAUUUGCUCUCUCCUUGAUGCUUAGAUGUAAAAAACCUUUUUAUUUCUCUCCUCCCAUAGAAAUCGUGAAGAAUAUACCCAUCCAGAUGUUGAAAAACCCAGAUGAUUGAAUUUGAAGGCUAGCCAACUACGAUGAAUAUCUUGGGCUAAAGAUGCAAGCAUAAAUCUCUUACCACACCGUCAGGCUAAAGAGUGCCACACACCUUGCAAAAAGAGCAAUGAAACAAGAGGCGACAAAAGUUGUCCUCAUUGUUCGUGUAAAAAGGGUAGAUAGUAGCCAUAUGACAACCUUGCUGUUGAAAUAUAUAUGUAGUUGGAAGCCGAUUGUGCAUAGCAAGUCAGGAAAAAUAUUUAGCCUAAGGAUGACAUUUGGCAGACCAAAGAGCAUGAAAAAUAGGCUGGGUGAACUGCCUAAUGAAUUAAUCUUUUUAUAGGUAGAGAAAGAGAGGCAAGUUAAGAGGAAAAAGAGCUAAAGAAAGAAAUGGAAAACCAAAUGUGUACUAAAUCCAGAGGAAAUAGAAAAAAAAAAAGAAGAUCUGGAUAAUAUUUUUGAGUGUUUGAUCCUGGACAUUAGUGUUGCACCACAUCAUCAAAUUUUUAUUUGUAGAUCAAUCAAAAACUUUCUUUUAUGUUUGAUUGCCUAGUUUUUCGAGGUUUUGUUUUGACUUCUUCAGGCGUUCAGGUCGCUGAGAACAAAGUAAAGAUCAUACCCCAACUUGGAAAUUUAGGCUUAGCAUGUUGGCGACGAUCCAUCUGCCUAGGUUUACUUCGAGGGUCGUAGACGAAAUCAGGGCCAUGUAGGUUGAGCAGCAGUGGGAAUGGGUUGGGUUGGUUGAUCUAGCUCUUGCUCCUGAGCCUCGUCCUGAUCCUCAUCCUCAUGUUGCUCCUGAUUCUCAUCCUCCGCAGCAUGAUGACUCCUCAGUUUCGAUCCCCACCAUAUGCUUUAACAUGCAAUAUACUCGGUGAAAAAAUCAUAUGCCCCUAUUGCAUCGGCAGGUGCCUUUGGAUGCCAUGGUUCUUGUAUCUCUAGGGCCUGGUGCAACACAUUAAUGCCCUGCCAAAAUAAGCACCACUACAGAAGAAUAAUAAAUGCAUAAAGAAAAGCUAUAUAAAAAACUACACGGAACAAAUCUAAA
RNAcentral lists this long non-coding RNA (1863 nucleotides) under Amborella trichopoda. Its description in RNAcentral is "long non-coding RNA (ATRI_LNC002513)". Lineage: Eukaryota; Viridiplantae; Streptophyta; Magnoliopsida; Amborellales; Amborellaceae. The record is from RNAcentral.